This is a long non-coding RNA of Amblyraja radiata (thorny skate), 1537 nucleotides long. RefSeq lists it as uncharacterized. The record is from RefSeq and is a predicted model, not a curated record. NCBI's taxonomy places the organism in Eukaryota, Metazoa, Chordata, Chondrichthyes, Rajiformes, Rajidae. The transcript is spliced from 3 exons.
CGCCCCGCACCGGGAGCGGGGACGCGCCCCACAGGCGUCGACGCCGCCGCCGUUACCCCGAGCGACCGGAGAAUCGGGCCCAGUCAGUCCCCGCGGAAAGGGGCAGCACGGUAACUGUGACAGUCUGCGUCUGACCCGGGCCCCCCCCCCCCCCCCCCACCCGGUGCAUCACAUCGCCUCCCCCACCCUCACCAAUUCCCGGCGUUGCAACUGGUGGCUUUCCGACCUGUGCCAGCCAGAGGCCGUCAGCGGGGCAGAGGCUGGGCCUCAGGGCAUGGUGGUGGGGUUGGGCACAGUGUGGCAACAAAUAACCAAAGAGGCGAGAGGUGGAGGAGACUUCCUGGACAGGCUAUCAGAGUUGGGAGAAGAGGAUGGGGGAGAGAAAAUUUGCAAGAGUAUGCAAUGGUGAAGCACGUGUUGUGGAUGUGUCAACCAUGGCUGAACGGGCACAGCAGUACCGUCCCCCUCAAGCAGAGUUGUCACUUUGCCUCUUGCCUCGCCAACAUGAGGACAAAGUGUAGUCUGCACGCUGCGGGGACAGUAAAGGGACACCACGCCCAGUCCCUAACAACGAAGGAGCACCACCGUUGCAGAUGCGAUCCUUCAGAUGAGUCAACUAAACUUACCAAACUUGGGCGUGUGUGGAAGAUUUCUUGACUCUAUUCAAAGAAUGUUCUUCUUCUUCCUGGAACCGCACCAACGUCAUUCAAACUGGUUGCCUGGUUCACAUCACAUUGCUGUCUGUGGGAGUUAACUAUGUAUCCUCCAUUACAACAGUGACCAUUAUUUAAGAAAUACCUAUCUGUCUGUCACAUGCUCAUUGAAGGCAGGAAGAGCACUGUUGAACUGGCAGUGCCCUUCUGCAUCUCAAUCUGCAUUUCCCAUGUCUCGUGGAGUUUCAAGGACUCUGGCAAUGCUGUGAAGGAUUUUCUUUUGGACAAAUUAGUGCGCAAUGCUGACAGGUACCCUGAUAUCCAUAUUUAUUUCAAUAUCAAGAACUUUCUAUCCAAAGGUUAAGGCAUUCUUUUUAUUUCAUAAAGUGAUAGAUGAAAGCAAGUAUUUAAUCAAAGAGUCACUCAAAACAUAAACUGGUGCCUCAGCCAGUUGCAUCUGUGCUGCUGAGCAACAAGCAUCUCUUUAGGUUGAUCCUACACGAAUCCCAUUUUAUUCUUAUCACAUUCCCAUCAUAGACUCCAUCCUCCUCACCUUGUUUUCCAGCCUAUCUUUGUGUAUUCAGGAACCUGGCACAUUGUACUCAGUUCCUCAUUCUCGUCACUGAUAUGGGCCGCAACCAGUUGAGCCACAGCAUUGAUCUGCACAGCAUCCUACUAAUCACAGUUUGCCAGCUUCAGUGUCAUCCAUUUAUCCCCUCAUUUUUCCUGUCAGUUAAUCAGUCCUCUAGCUACAUCAAUGGUACGUGUUCUCACCGUUCUAAUUCUCAGCUGUGACAUCUUAUUGAAAAUAUUGUUUGGAAAAUGUAAAUAGACCUCAUAUCCAAACAAUUUAUUACAUCCUCCAAGAAUUUUAAUAAACUUUU